This 265-nucleotide ribosomal RNA is filed under the name uncultured bacterium. RNAcentral describes it as "partial 16S ribosomal RNA". It matches the Rfam family "Bacterial small subunit ribosomal RNA", at positions 57 to 305 of the family's 1533-position model. The record is from RNAcentral.
GCAAGUCGAGCGAGAAGCUUAUGAAGGAUCCUUCGGGUGACUGAUUAAGUGGACAGCGGCGGACGGGUGAGUAACGCGUGGGUAACCUGCCCCAUACAAAAGGAUAGCCACUUGAAACGGUGAUUAAUACCAUAUAACAUCAUAGUGUCGCAUGACACAUUGGUCAAAGAUUUAUCGGUAUGGGAUGGACCCGCGUCUGAUUAGCUAGUUGGUAAGGUAACGGCUUACCAAGGCGACGAUCAGUAGCCGACCUGAGAGGGUGAUC